UGUCACAUUUCUAAAUGAUUAUUCCACAAUC
RNAcentral lists this non-coding RNA (31 nucleotides) under Rattus norvegicus (Norway rat). Lineage: Eukaryota; Metazoa; Chordata; Mammalia; Rodentia; Muridae. The record is from RNAcentral.